GACGAACGCUGGCGGCGUGCCUAACACAUGCAAGUCGAACGGAGAUUUCAGCAAUGAAAUCUUAGUGGCGAACGGGUGAGUAACGCGUAGACAACCUGCCUUUUAGAUGGGGACAACACCGCGAAAGUGGUGCUAAUACCGAAUGUUGUAUUUUAAUCGCAUGAUUAGAAUGCUAAAGAUGGCCUCUGUAUAUGCUAUCGCUAAAAGAUGGGUCUGCGUCUGAUUAGCUAGUUGGUGAGGUAAUGGCUCACCAAGGCGACGAUCAGUAGCCGGUCUGAGAGGAUGAACGGCCACACUGGGACUGAGACACGGCCCAGACUCCUACGGGAGGCAGCAGUGGGGAAUCUUCCGCAAUGGACGAAAGUCUGACGGAGCAACGCCGCGUGAGUGAAGAAGGUUUACGGAUCGUAAAACUCUGUUUUCAGGGACGAAUGUGCAGAUUGUAAAUAAUGAUUUGUAAUGACGGUACCUGAGUAGAAAGCCACGGCUAACUACGUGCCAGCCGCCGCAGUAA
This 514-nucleotide ribosomal RNA is filed under the name uncultured bacterium. Its description in RNAcentral is "partial 16S ribosomal RNA". It matches the Rfam family "Bacterial small subunit ribosomal RNA", at positions 28 to 523 of the family's 1533-position model. The record is from RNAcentral.